GUGUUAUGUGAACGUCGACUACAUAACACUUCACCAUUAUUUCGGCCUAGAGGAAGGCAUUGGAAAGUAGUAAGUAGAUGAUGGGUUGCUAGAGUGACAGAAGCUUAAACCCUAGUUUAUGCGUUGCUUCCUAAGGGGCUGAUUUGGAUCCACUAGUUUAAUGUUAUGGUUAGAUUUUGUCUUAAUUCUUCUUUCGUAGUUGCGGAUGCUUGCGAGAGGAGUUAAUCAUAAAUCGGAUGCUUGUCCAAGUAAGGGAAGUACCCAAGCCCGGU
This 272-nucleotide long non-coding RNA is filed under the name Hordeum vulgare. RNAcentral describes it as "long non-coding RNA (HVUL_LNC005327)". Lineage: Eukaryota; Viridiplantae; Streptophyta; Magnoliopsida; Poales; Poaceae. The record is from RNAcentral.